GAUGGCAAACACCAGUUCCUCUCUACAACAGAUCCUGUGACCUGAUAAGCCCCACCAGCACAGUGCUGCAGGAAGACAGUUAUACCAGAGCACGUGUUGGAGAGGAGGGGAGACUCUAUGAGCCAUCAAGUGCCUUCACAAUUAACAGUCCACAGUGUGGUCAGAAGCAGUUUAUUUUGGCUUGGCUGUGAGGAGAAGGGAUAUGUGUAAAGGAUCAGUUUCAUUGUAAAGAACACACUUAAAGUUGAGGUGGGAGUGAGUGGCUAAGAGUGGGAACCUCUUCAAUUGGCUUUGUGACAUGUCCUGAGCAACCUGCUCUAGGUGUCCCUGCUUGAGCAGACGGGUGGAUCAGAUGACCUCCAGAGGUAACUUCCAACCCCAGUUAUCUGUGAGUCUGUCAUUGC
Molecule: long non-coding RNA, 404 nt
Filed under: Anser brachyrhynchus (Pink-footed goose)
Lineage: Eukaryota; Metazoa; Chordata; Aves; Anseriformes; Anatidae
Description: lncRNA (ENSABRG00000022400.1)
Source: RNAcentral